GCCCCAGUGGCUCAGUUGGUAGAGCGGCUGCCUCGUAAGCAGCAGGUCGGGAGUUCGAUCCUCCCCUGGGGCUCCA
Molecule: transfer RNA, 76 nt
Rfam family: tRNA
About the family: Transfer RNA (tRNA) molecules are approximately 80 nucleotides in length.